CUACGGGACGCUGCAGUGAGGAAUAUUGCGCAAUGGGCGAAAGCCUGACGCAGCGACGCCGCGUGGGGGAUGAAGGCCUUCGGGUUGUAAACUCCUUUUAGUCGGGAAGAAACCUCUGUAGUGAAUAGCUAUAGAGCUGACGGUACUGACUGAAUAAGCCACGGCUAACUCUGUGCCAGCAGCCGCGGUAAGACAGAGGUGGCGAGCGUUGUUCGGAUUUACUGGGCGUAAAGCGCGUGUAGGUGGCGAGGUAAGUCGGGUGUAAAAUCCCAUGGCUUAACCAUGGAACUGCAUUCGAUACUGUCUGGCUUGAGUGCAGGAGAGGAGGGCGGAAUUCCCGGUGUAGCAGUGAAAUGCGUAGAUAUCGGGAGGAACACCAGUGGCGAAGGCGGCCCUCUGGACUGUUACUGACGCUGAGACGCGAAAGCGUGGGGAGCAAACAGGAUUAGAUACCCGUGUAGUC
This 463-nucleotide ribosomal RNA is filed under the name uncultured bacterium. RNAcentral's name for it is "partial 16S ribosomal RNA". It matches the Rfam family "Bacterial small subunit ribosomal RNA", at positions 339 to 795 of the family's 1533-position model. The record is from RNAcentral.